Molecule: microRNA precursor, 134 nt
Filed under: Picea abies (Norway spruce)
Lineage: Eukaryota; Viridiplantae; Streptophyta; Pinopsida; Pinales; Pinaceae
Description: miR3710 stem-loop (pab-MIR3710)
Source: miRBase by way of RNAcentral
AGACGCUUCCAGACUCGGUUGGGAACCUGACGGGCCUCCAAAGUCUUACCCUGAACAGUUGCUUGGCUCUGCAGACGCUUCCAGACUCUGUUGGGAACCUGACGGGCCUCCAAAGUCUUGUCAUGAUCCUUUGC